GAUCCUGGGCUCAGGAUGAACGCUGGCGGCAUGCCUAAUACAUGCAAGUCGAACGAGAGGAAGGAAAGCUUGCUUUUCUGAAUCUAGUGGCGAACGGGUGAGUAACACGUAGGUAACCUGCCCAUGUGCCCGGGAUAACUUCUGGAAACGGAUGCUAAAACCGGAUAGGUAGCAGACAAGCAUUUGACUGCUAUUAAAGUGGCCUUGGCCAUGAACAUGGAUGGACCUGCGGUG
Molecule: ribosomal RNA, 234 nt
Filed under: uncultured bacterium
Lineage: Bacteria
Description: partial 16S ribosomal RNA
Rfam family: Bacterial small subunit ribosomal RNA
Source: RNAcentral